RNAcentral lists this ribosomal RNA (254 nucleotides) under uncultured bacterium. RNAcentral's name for it is "partial 16S ribosomal RNA". It matches the Rfam family "Bacterial small subunit ribosomal RNA", at positions 524 to 776 of the family's 1533-position model. The record is from RNAcentral.
UACGGGGGGAGCAAGCGUUGUUCGGAUUUACUGGGCGUAAAGGGUGCGUAGGCGGUCAGCACAAGUCAGUUGUGAAAUCUCCGGGCUUAACUCGGAAAGGUCAACUGAUACUGUGCGACUAGAGUGCGGAAGGGGCAACUGGAAUUCUCGGUGUAGCGGUGAAAUGCGUAGAUAUCCGGAGGAACACCGGUGGCGAAGGCGGCUUCCUGGACCGACACUGACGCUGAGGCGCGAAAGCUAGGGGAGCAAACGGG